Molecule: unclassified non-coding RNA, 409 nt
Filed under: soil metagenome
Description: partial contains 5.8S ribosomal RNA, internal transcribed spacer 2, and large subunit ribosomal RNA
Rfam family: 5.8S ribosomal RNA (bases 1-121)
Source: RNAcentral
GAUGAAGAACGCAGCGAAAUGCGAUAAGUAGUGUGAAUUGCAGAAGUACCGUGAAUCAUCGAAUCUUUGAACGCAAAUUGCACUCUCUGGUAUUCCGGGGAGUAUGCCUGUUUGAGGGUCGCUUAACAAACCAUCGAUUUCGUUGCUUUUUUUUUUAAAGUGAUGUUUAUCGGAUUUGAGCCGUCUUUUUUUUUAUAUUUAAGUGGCUUAAAAUUGAUUUUUUUGGUACGAUCGAAGCGUAUUUUUAUGAUCAAUUUUUGGUUAAAGAAACGCACACGUACCGUUAUUUAUAUGAUGUAAUACGUUUGACUAUUGGAUUUAGUUCAUUCGUAUACGAUAUCUUUCAAUAUUUGACCUCAAAUCAGGUAAGAACACCCGCUGAACUUAAGCAUAUCAAUAAGCCGGAGGA